This 469-nucleotide ribosomal RNA is filed under the name uncultured bacterium. Its description in RNAcentral is "partial 16S ribosomal RNA". It matches the Rfam family "Bacterial small subunit ribosomal RNA", at positions 28 to 507 of the family's 1533-position model. The record is from RNAcentral.
GAUGAACGCUGGCGGCGUGCUUAACACAUGCAAGUCGAACGGUGAACACGGAGCUUGCUCUGUCGGAUCAGUGGCGAACGGGUGAGUAACACGUGAGCAACCUGCCCCUGACUCUGGGAUAAGCGCUGGAAACGGCGUCUAAUACUGGAUAUGUGACGUGACCGCAUGGUCUGCGUUUGGAAAGAUUUUUCGGUUGGGGAUGGGCUCGCGGCCUAUCAGCUUGUUGGUGAGGUAAUGGCUCACCAAGGCGUCGACGGGUAGCCGGCCUGAGAGGGUGACCGGCCACACUGGGAUUGAGACACGGCCCAGACUCCUACGGGAGGCAGCAGUGGGGAAUAUUGCACAAUGGGCGAAAGCCUGAUGCAGCAACGCCGCGUGAGGGAUGACGGCCUUCGGGUUGUAAACCUUUUUUAGCAGGGAAGAAGCGAAAGUGACGGUACCUGCAGAAAAAGCGCCGGCUAACUACGUG